Molecule: ribosomal RNA, 140 nt
Filed under: uncultured eukaryote
Lineage: Eukaryota
Description: partial 18S ribosomal RNA
Rfam family: Eukaryotic small subunit ribosomal RNA
Source: RNAcentral
UGGUGGGGUGAUUUGUCUGGUUAAUUCCGUUAACGAACGAGACCUCGACCUGCUAAAUAGUUCGGCGAACCCUCGGGUUCGUGCGCGACUUCUUAGAGGGACUAUCGGUUUGCAGCCGGUGGAAGUUCGAGGCAAUAACA